GUUUUCUCGACAAGGUCCAUGCGUUGGUGACCUUUAUAGUCUUGAUGACGGCCUGAUUAGGCUUGUUAGCAGCACGGACAAGGUCAGCAACCUGCCAUCAUGCAGCAAGCAGACUCCAAUCAACCGCUAUGUCAUAUCAUCUGGAUGAAAUUGACCUCAUGGCUUUCAGUGCACAUCGAAGCCAGGCAAGGAUGCCCGGAGGCAUGGUACAUUGGGGAAACCAAG
Non-coding RNA from Chiloscyllium plagiosum (whitespotted bambooshark), 225 nucleotides. The record is from RefSeq and is a predicted model, not a curated record. NCBI's taxonomy places the organism in Eukaryota, Metazoa, Chordata, Chondrichthyes, Orectolobiformes, Hemiscylliidae.